This 497-nucleotide ribosomal RNA is filed under the name uncultured bacterium. RNAcentral's name for it is "partial 16S ribosomal RNA". It matches the Rfam family "Bacterial small subunit ribosomal RNA", at positions 28 to 507 of the family's 1533-position model. The record is from RNAcentral.
GACGAACGCUGGCGGCGUGCCUAAUACAUGCAAGUUGAGCGCUGAAGGUUGGUACUUGUACCAACUGGAUGAGCAGCGAACGGGUGAGUAACGCGUGGGGAAUCUGCCUUUGAGCGGGGGACAACAUUUGGAAACGAAUGCUAAUACCGCAUAAAAACUUUAAACACAAGUUUUAAGUUUGAAAGAUGCAAUUGCAUCACUCAAAGAUGAUCCCGCGUUGUAUUAGCUAGUUGGUGAGGUAAAGGCUCACCAAGGCGAUGAUACAUAGCCGACCUGAGAGGGUGAUCGGCCAAAUUGGGACUGAGACACGGCCCAAACUACUACGGGAGGCAGCAGUAGGGAAUCUUCGGCAAUGGACGAAAGUCUGACCGAGCAACGCCGCGUGAGUGAAGAAGGUUUUCGGAUCGUAAAACUCUGUUGGUAGAGAAGAAAGUUGGUGAGAGUGGAAAGCUCAUCAAGUGACGGUAACUACCCAGAAAGGGACGGCUAACUACGUG